RNAcentral lists this small nucleolar RNA (219 nucleotides) under Gossypium hirsutum (cotton). RNAcentral's name for it is "Plant small nucleolar RNA U3". It matches the Rfam family "Plant small nucleolar RNA U3". Rfam says of the family: Small nucleolar RNAs (snoRNAs) are involved in the processing and modification of rRNA in the nucleolus. There are two main classes of snoRNAs: the box C/D class, and the box H/ACA class. U3 snoRNA is a member of the box C/D class. Lineage: Eukaryota; Viridiplantae; Streptophyta; Magnoliopsida; Malvales; Malvaceae. The record is from Rfam by way of RNAcentral.
ACGACCUUACUUGAACAGGAUCUGUUCUAUAGGCUCGUACCUCUGUGUCCGUAAGUUCAAAGGAGACAGGGUUCCAAGUCUGGUUGAUGAACCAGGACCGUGUGACCUGAGCGUGAUUAUUGGUCUGGUGAUUCCCUUGCUGGUUUCACUUUGACCGCAGAGGAUCGUUCUCAGCUAGCCUUGGGCGGCUGGGAAGGUCACGCAGUUGUCUGACAGACU